RNAcentral lists this ribosomal RNA (549 nucleotides) under uncultured bacterium. RNAcentral's name for it is "bacterial SSU rRNA". It matches the Rfam family "Bacterial small subunit ribosomal RNA", at positions 356 to 896 of the family's 1533-position model. The record is from RNAcentral.
AGGGAAUCUUCCACAAUGGGCGCAAGCCUGAUGGAGCAACACCGCGUGAGUGAAGAAGGGUUUCGGCUCGUAAAGCUCUGUUGUUGGAGAAGAACGUGCGUGAGAGUAACUGUUCACGCAGUGACGGUAUCCAACCAGAAAGUCACGGCUAACUACGUGCCAGCAGCCGCGGUAAUACGUAGGUGGCAAGCGUUAUCCGGAUUUAUUGGGCGUAAAGCGAGCGCAGGCGGUUGCUUAGGUCUGAUGUGAAAGCCUUCGGCUUAACCGAAGAAGGGCAUCGGAAACCGGGCGACUUGAGUGCAGAAGAGGACAGUGGAACUCCAUGUGUAGCGGUGGAAUGCGUAGAUAUAUGGAAGAACACCAGUGGCGAAGGCGGCUGUCUGGUCUGCAACUGACGCUGAGGCUCGAAAGCAUGGGUAGCGAACAGGAUUAGAUACCCUGGUAGUCCAUGCCGUAAACGAUGAGUGCUAGGUGUUGGAGGGUUUCCGCCCUUCAGUGCCGGAGCUAACGCAUUAAGCACUCCGCCUGGGGAGUACGACCGCAAGGUUG